Molecule: long non-coding RNA, 2722 nt
Organism: Anas platyrhynchos (mallard)
Lineage: Eukaryota; Metazoa; Chordata; Aves; Anseriformes; Anatidae
Source: RefSeq, a predicted model, not a curated record
GAUGUCUUAGAUGGUUUCUACAGAUUGGGUGAGGCAGAAAGUGACUUCUCAUUAUUGAGCUGUAUCAGCUGUAUGACUGUCACCUACUGGGGAUUGUGAUUUAAAAAAUGAAAGAUGUGAUUCAAUUCUUUUGCAAGUUAUUUGUGGCUAUCAUGCUUCAGGUAGCUUGAGCAAUAGACUUCUCUAUAUCUUCCCUUGGACUUUCACUCCUUGCAGAUCUUCAGGGGAACAUUACUGCAGAAAUAAAAAUCAUCAGCUUCUGUACCUGGAGGAAGAGAAGACAGGUGUGUAAACCAGAUGGACAGAUGGAACAAAAUGUCACUGAAUUGUGCAGGCAUGGAAAUAGAAAGACCUAGGACAAAUGGCAUUUUGGAUGGAAGGUGACCCAGUCAGUCAGUUGUAGUCAAUUCUUAUUAAAACUGAAAUAGACUUUAGAAAACAAGUUGGAAGGUAGACGGAAUGAUGCUGAAUGUUUGUUAGUCCGUUUCAUGCGUGCAUGUGUGCUGGAAAGAGGAGGACACACCCAAGACAGGUCUAAAACUAGAAGCUUAAUAUACAAGAAACUUAUUGGAUGGCUUCCUUGGAGGAAGAGGAUGCUAUGUAUUUAUUCCAAUGACCCACCUUGCAUUAACUGGGACAUCACUUACUGUCACUGAGACCUUUUGGGAACAUCCUUCAUUUCAGAAGAGCUCUGCCUGGGAAUAUCAAGCAUAUUUCUGCUCUCCUUUGAAUUCUAACUUCUUUGGAGCCAGUUUUCCAUUUUUCCCCACCUUGGUUUCAGCAGCCCUAAUCCAUAUGCUGUUUCCCAGCUUCUUAUUCUGAGCCAUGAUCUGGAUAUUUGUGAGUUCAUCCUUCACCAAUAUCAGAUAAACUGCCAUGUAAGAAUUUAUACUAAGGACCCUUCUAUUAUUGCUAUUGUAUGCAAGAUUUUAUAGUAAAGGUUUUUUUCUGUUACUAUUGCUGUAUAAUGAUUAUAGUGAUAGCCUGAAAAUAACAACUGUACUGAGAUUCCCAUCUUGACUGGACAGCAGCAUGGAACAUAACAUUUUGGCACUCAAAUUGUUGUUACUGUGGGGCCACAAACCCCCUACAAUUGUCUAUUUUUCAUUAUAAUUGUAAAAUCUAUUUUUUAUAGGCCUAAUCCUGGAAAAAUCACAUAAGCUAUAAAAGUAACCUUAAAUUUUUUUCAUGUCGAGCACAAAAACUAAUUUUCUGGGGCUCAUAAUUAAAAUAAAUAAAUAAAUAAACAAGAAAAUACAUAAUCAAAUAUUAAUGGCUUGGUAUUGACAAGAAAAAGAAUAAAAGAAAAAGUGUUAGUUUUGGUCUUUUUGUAAAGUGACCAGCUGCCCAAUGUGGCAUAAUUAAACAGACACACAGAGUAAUGAGCAUGAUAACAAUCCUCUAUUUUCAGUUCAUAGCCAUAAAUGUACUGCUGAAGAAGUGCAGAAUAGUAUCCACCUGUGAGUGGACUGCAACGAACUAGAAAUAAAAAGGAAACUUUCCUAUAGCUUGAAAUUCAGAGCAAAUGGGACAGAAAACACAAACGUGGUUCAGCACAUAUACAGGUUUCAUCUUCAGAAAAUCUGAUUCAUUUUGCACUUAAAAAGCAAUUUAUAUUCAUACAUCUGGUUUUAUUUAUUUAUUUAUUAGAACUGCAUUUCUUGAUGCAAGUUUAUUAGCUGAAAGAAGGACUUUUUUUCUCUAUCUACCAGAGCAUUUACAAUGAGAAGAUUUAUAAAUUUGUAUGGGAGAAAUGUUGAUCAGGCUAUACAGGUUUUUAUGUGAGCUAUUAAACAAAAAAUGUUUUCUUUCCUCUUUAGGAACAUGCAAUGGGUAUUCAUCAGUACUAACUACUGUAGAUGGUUUUUACUCACUUCAUCCCAUUUAAUAACCCUUAAUGUGUUCAGCAUGACCUUCAUGUUCAAAAUAGUAGUCCAAUAGGACAGCAUAGUUACCUUAUAGUCAUUUGCCUGUGAAGAGAGUGGAUUACAUUUUUUUGUGACAGUUUUUGAGGGCUGCAACACUCUGUAUGAUUAAACUCUCAGAUACUCAUUCAUAUUUGUUCUUCUUCCUGAAGCUUUUCACCCUCCCCAUUGGUGUCCAAUGUCAUAUGAAACUAUGCAAGUCUGCUCUAAUUACAGGAGAUGGGACACAGGCAAAAACAGCUUUGGUGGCAGGGAGAAGAUGGUCAUUGCUUUUUUAUUUAAGAAAAAAAGUCAAAUGCAUUUCUUGGACAAGAUUAAAAAUCCUAGUUUGUAAUAAACUGUUUCCAAUCCUGACUCAGUCUUCAUGUGGACCUGCAAGCUAGCACUGAUGGCCACCGUGACUCUCUACAUUCAUCUAUUAUGGACUUCAGAUCACAAAUUCCACAAAAAUAUUAAAAAAAUUGCUUUCUUUUAUUUUAGCACAAAGUAGACUUCUCUGCUGUGAACAUCUCAAGCUGGGCAUUUCCUGACACUUUUCCCUUGAAGAACAACCUGAACUUAGUGUCAUUGUAUUAUCUGGUUGUUUUCUUUCCCCCGUGACAUGAGGUCAGUCUUGAGGUGGAAGUUGCAUCUACUUUGGAUGAUUAUAAAGAAAAAAAUAUUUUUAGUUUGGAUAAAAUUCCCUUCUACAGCACCAAAUUCUUCUCCAAUCAACCCCACUGCCUGCAAGAAUGGUCCAAUUUUUGAAACAGCCAAUGUUAAUGGUGAUAUAGUUAUUAACAGAGACCAUCUUCUAU